UACGUAGGGGGCAAGCGUUGUCCGGAAUCAUUGGGCGUAAAGCGCGCGUAGGCGGCCAGAAAAGUCCGCUGUGAAAACUCGAGGCUCAACUUCGAGCUGGCGGUGGAAACUUUCUGGCUAGAGUCCGGAAGAGGAGAAUGGAAUUCCUGGUGUAGCGGUGAAAUGCGCAGAUAUCAGGAAGAACACCCGUGGCGAAGGCGGUUCUCUGGGACGGUACUGACGCUGAGACGCGAAAGCGUGGGGAGCGAACAGG
RNAcentral lists this ribosomal RNA (253 nucleotides) under uncultured bacterium. RNAcentral describes it as "partial 16S ribosomal RNA". It matches the Rfam family "Bacterial small subunit ribosomal RNA", at positions 524 to 776 of the family's 1533-position model. The record is from RNAcentral.